AUGCAUCUGACAGUCCUGGAGCAGUUAAUUUCUGCUGCUAAGGUUUCCAGUACAGAUACAAGAAAAGAAAGGUCCUCAGGCUUUCUGUCUGGUUGUGGCAGCCAAGAUUGAAUGGGGGAAUACUAAA
RNAcentral lists this small nucleolar RNA (127 nucleotides) under Dasypus novemcinctus (nine-banded armadillo). RNAcentral's name for it is "Small nucleolar RNA SNORA31 (ENSDNOG00000048135.1)". It matches the Rfam family "Small nucleolar RNA SNORA31". From Rfam's summary of the family: ACA31 (SNORA31) belongs to the H/ACA class of snoRNAs which are thought to guide the sites of modification of uridines to pseudouridines. ACA31 is predicted to guide the pseudouridylation of U3713 in 28S rRNA and U218 in 18S rRNA. The record is from RNAcentral. Lineage: Eukaryota; Metazoa; Chordata; Mammalia; Cingulata; Dasypodidae.